AGAACACUAUGCCAAGCCAUUUAUGUGCAUUAAAUAACUCCUUACUCACUGGACCUGGGAGUUUCUUGUAGCACGUCCAGGUCUAUCUGUAUAAUAUGAAAUAGAAUGCCACAGGUGUCAUCUUCUUCUCUCCUUCACAGGAUUCCCUGCUGUUGUGGUUGCAAUCACACUGGGAGUGACUUACAGAGUGGAUGAUCCUUUGGGCUAUCGACGAGAAGAGUUCUGUUGGCUUGCGGCUCUGAACCAAGAUGAGGAGUUUGACUUCGGAAAGCCACUUUUUUGGGGCUUUUUGCUUCCAGUAGCUAUUAUGCUGCUUUUGAAUACUGCAGUGUUAAUAUACUUUGGAAUUUCUACAUGCAAGAAGGAUCCCCUGUUAAGCAGCACAAGCAGCACCUCACUGAAGAAGUUGUUCAUGAGCAGCUUCUCUCUGGGGGCUCUCCUCGGCCUUACUUGGGUUCUGGGCUACCUGGUAAUCUCUACCACUGACCCAACACUGAGCAACAUCUUCAGCAUAUUAUUCUGUGUGUGUAACACCACCCAGGGCUUACAGAUCUUCAUUUUGUUUACGGUGAGGACCGCCUACUUCAG
Long non-coding RNA from Clupea harengus (Atlantic herring), 588 nucleotides. RefSeq lists it as uncharacterized. NCBI's taxonomy places the organism in Eukaryota, Metazoa, Chordata, Actinopteri, Clupeiformes, Clupeidae. The transcript is spliced from 4 exons. The record is from RefSeq and is a predicted model, not a curated record.